GAUUCCUUUAGAUGAUGAUAUUUGAGUAGGAAUCUCAUUGAGCUUCAGUCAUUCGUUGCAAUGAAAUUAAAUUUCUCAACUGAACACAGCAAA
Non-coding RNA from Drosophila mojavensis, 93 nucleotides. The record is from Rfam. Lineage: Eukaryota; Metazoa; Arthropoda; Insecta; Diptera; Drosophilidae.